CUUGUUCGACGACGACGACCAAACGCCGCCCAGGCAGAACGGCCGCCGGAACGUCGACCAGCACAACAGCGACGACGGCGACGUCGACAGCGUCCGCGUGUCGUGCUACGGCGGCGUCGCAAAGCCAAAGGCCAAGUCGUCGUCGACUGCGAAGGACGUCGUCGUCACCGGCCGUCCUGCUGCAGGCUCCAACCGUACCUGAUCUUAUUCUUAGUAUAGCUAACUAGCGAUCGAGCUCGAUCCAGAAUUUGAAAUUUCGGAAAUUUUGCCCCCCACCGAAAUACUCACAUCUCGUCCGAAAUUUUCGGUUUUUUAUAACUUUUUAUGAAUUUUGGUCAAAAUUUAUUCUAAUUUAUUUAAAAUCAGUCAAAAUUUCAAAAAAAAAUCGUAUGAAAAAAAUCCGAAAUUUUGGAAAUUUCAGUUCUUUCGCCCACCUGCGGCAGAAAUCUUACUUCCGAAAUUUCAAACCCUGGCUCGAUCUCAUCUCGCACCCUUGAUCAUGUCGAGCAACCUUGUGUUGAUGAUCGACAUGGUCACUCUAGCUAGCUAGUUAUUCGUAUCAAUGUUGAAUAACAUGCAUAUGCAAACAUGACCGUCUCCAAUUACUGGUACAGACGACUACUUACAGAGUGAGCUGUAUGUUACGAGAAUGUACUUUACGAAAUACUACUAUGAACAUAGUACUAAAAUUGAAAAUCUCUCGAUUCUGUUUGUGUUGCCUCUACUCAACAAAGCUAAGUGAAAUACUACUAUGAAAUUUCCUGCACAGUUCUCCACCUUCUGUUGAAAUCCACUCUAUUCGUUUUGUACACCUGCAAUGACAAGACAUGUAAUAAGCUCCUCAGACAACACAUCAUCAGAGUAAGUUUAAAUGUUUAAUAUUUACCCCGUCACAAAAAUAAUGCAGUUCUUACAUUUAAAUUUUGUUAAAAUUAAAAACAAUUAUAGAAUACUACUCAUCCCUCCAAUAGAGAAGAGUCAAUAGAUGACAAUAGAAAGGGAACGUACGCAGAUACCAGUCUAUAUGACGGGCCAUCCAUUAGAGACACAAUUAAUUAUGGUGAAACAGAGAAGAUCGAUGAUGAUGAAAGCAUAAGAUUUCAAAUUUUCUUUCCAUCCUACACAACACUCUCCACCCUUAUAACCACUGCUCAUUUAAUGGGUGACAUAUAAAUUAAUCAUUUCAGUUAUACCUACUAAUUUAUCUUUUAAAUGAUAUAUGAUCAUAUUCGUUUCGGGUUGAAGGGAGUAAUAUAGAUAUGCUAUGGAAUCUCAUCCAAAUAACGCUAAGCAUGUAUACCUAACGGUACCAAAUAUGAUACCCUGUAGGUAUCGAUGAUACCCCGUCAGUACUAGCUCCGGGUACCUAUUAGUACCGGGCCGAUAUCCUAUUUAGAGAUGGCAACGGGGCUGCCCCCACCAGGUAAUGCUAACCCACCUGUCCCAAAUACCUGAAAAUCGAACUUUAGAAUCAGAGAACACAACAAGCAAUUAAUGAAGCGAUACACAACACCAUACUAAACAUGAAGGGAUGAUGAGUAACCAAUUAAUCAUCACCAACAAAAACUACGUAGAAAAAGCAUUGAUGCACAUAAUUCUUUAGCGGGAAGACUAGACGAAGCAAUGCAACGCAGUUUGGAGUUGACAUAGUGCUAGCAUUGCUUGGAGACAGGCGAAGCCAUCGAGUACAGGAGGAAGCACCGGUGGCCUGGAGGAUGUGAGGAUGCAUGGUGUGGUGCCCGCGUGUGUCCUACAGGACUCCUUGAGGUGGCGCGGAUGUGCCCCAAUCCCUUGACCCGGAAGCAUCGCUUACUUGUCAUGUUAGCCUGGACUUCUAGUGGCAGCUCUGUAGUGCCUGGAUUUGGACCGGAGUGGAGGAGAGCAUUCUCUCCCCAAUUUAUUUGUGUGAGAACUAGGGUUGUAGUGUUUGUAUCUAUAUGUGUUGUACACGGGGGACAUAGCGAUUCGGGGACAAGGGUCUAGGGAACGUCCCCGGAACCGAUCCAUCAAAUGGGGGAGUUUUUUCAUGUUUAGAGCCUCAUGGAUCGGGAUAGUGGCCCAUUUGCAGCCCCUAAUAGAUGUUUUACCCACCAGGGAUUAGGGUUCAGGCCCCAUUAACAUCCCUAAUCCCAUCGGUAAUAGGCUAAUACCCCAUCAUUAUCAAGCCUAAUACAUGUGAUACCAAACCUGGUACAUGCAGAUCUGGUGAGUAGUACUAGGCCUAGCUAAUUAUUAAGGAGAUAACUAGUUGAAACUAUUCCUGAUACGUUUAAUGUUUUUUUGGUUAUUUAUAAGUUCAUUAGUUUUGAUAUCUUAAAAUGUUAUAUUUUCGUGCUUCAUAUAGCUAUAUCCAUGUUCACAAUUUCGUAAAACUUACUAAUUCCUAACCUUUGAUCAAUUCAAUUUCUUUCACAGCUUCUUAUAUGCACAGUUCACAAGCCCAAAUUAUGGGGGCGUUUGUUUUGUUUGGUUAACCUUGCCAUGCCAUAUUUUAGUCAUGCAUGUUACAAUUUGUUAGAUAGGUGUUUGCUUCAAUUUAAGCUUGUCAGACUUUAAUUUUCUUUUACUUGGCCUUAUAUGUCACAUGAACAUUUUUGUUGGCUAAUAAUGUCACAGAACUAUUUAAUAUAUAAGUAUAUGUAUUACUCAGGAAGUAUAUACCUCAUAACUAACAAAAUUGGUAUGUGUACCUUAUAUACUUCCCGAGAUUUAGAAAAGCUUUGUCAUUGUCAAUCAUAAAUUUAUCUUAUAAUAUGUUUAAUCAAUUUAUUUUUUUAGGGAGGUAUAUACCUCUCCAAGGAUAUAUAAGAACCUCUAUAAGGGUCUUUACUUCCGUGCGGUUAAUACGUGCGUAGCGCUCAGUAUAUCAUAGUUUAAAUAAUCAUAAAAUUAUAAUAUUUAGAGCAUCAUUAAAAAUAACUUGUGCAACACACGGGUUGACGACUAGUAUUACAUAAUCACAUUAUUUAAAAUAUCAAUCAAGGCCCAAAUUGUAGGUGCCCCACUUAUUUGAUGUAUUAAAUUAUUACAACAUUUUGGUAACACCGACAAAAUAUAUCACUAAUGCUGAGGAUCUGAACUCCACGAGCGCGCACACAAAUUAAUCCACACACAUAUAUAUGUAUAGCUAAGAUGACAUAAGAUAAUUACCAAUAGGGUAGGGUUUAUUUUUGAAGCUGAAUUAAGCUUUUAAUGAAGCCUUAAAUCUUCGAAAUGAACUUAAAAGUUAGGUAGUACUAGCAUUAUUCCAAGUAAAUAAAUUUUAUCCAAAUUUGAAAGUUAAUUAGGAGCGAAAAAUAACUGAUCAUAAUUAGUUGGGCAUGGAAUGAAGGGCGAGGUGUAUCAUUUGGGAUAGAAGGCGACGGUAGUCUGCAAGACAGUGGAGAUGGCGAGAAGAGUGGAGACGAUGAGCGCGAGGAUUUUGACAGGGCUGUCCAUGUACUUCUUGGCCUCCGCCCAGUAACGAUACGCUUUGUUCUGGCUGCAAUCCCUGAGCCCCUGCAGCACCUUGCCGAUGUGUGUCUUCUCCUCCGUGCCGCUCCGCUGAUUACCUCGGCAUAGGUUCUUGAAGUACUCGAUGAUCUGCAUAUAUAUAUAUAUAUAUGCGCGCGGUAAUUAACUGAUAACGAAUUGAGAAUUCAGAUACAUGUAUGUAUUCGUGACGAGAUUGAUCGAAUGAUAAGUAUAUAUAUACUGACCGUUUCAUGGCUUCCGAAGUUGUUGAGGAGGACGCCCUGCUCCUGGAGCACGGCGAUGUCGUCCGUGGAGCUGACGAGGUUGUACAUGAGGAAGGCGUAGGUGGUGAAGUAGUCCCGGGGGUGCUCGUCGUCGUUGCUCGGUGGUGGCGUGCCCUGCUGCUCGUACGCGACGAGGUUCUGCAGCAGCUGCACCGUGCCCUGGUCGACGGUAAGCGCCGGCACCUCCAGAACCGGCGACAAGAGGCCAUUCCUGAGCCGCACGUCCAGUAUUCCGCCGCGUUUCGUCGGCGCCUUGCUGAUCUUGACGCCGAGGCCACGCAGCUGCGCCGCCGACACGAUGUUCGCCUUCGCCUUGGCGUCGUCGUCGUCCUUGUCGUGGCCCUGCUGCUGCUGGUUGGUGGCGCUGCCGUCGCGCCGGCGGAGGCCGAGGACGGCGCCUUUGUCGUCGUCGACAUUGACGAGGUGGGCGUGGGCGAGGUGCAGCAGGUGCAGCAGGUGGUGGACCUCCUUGUCGGCGAUGAGCUUGUACAGCUCGUCGCUCUCGUCCUCGGGGAGGACGAACCACCCCUUGAGCAUGUACCACAUCGCCAUGACCAGCAGCUUGUGCCUCUUCCUCUGCCGCAUCAUCGUCUUGCGCUGGAAGGUCUGCGGCGUGAUCAUCAUGCCGUCGUCGCCUACGUCGCGCGUGAUCUUCCGCUGGAGCUUCCGCGGCGUGAGGUGGUAGAAGAUCUCCUCCAGCACGAAGAAGGGGAUCUGGUUCUCCAGCAUGCCGAGGUCGAUGCGCAGCUGCGCCGGCGACCACCGCGUCGCGUACAGCUCCUCCUCGUUGUACCCCUGCACGAAGUUGUAGAGGUGCUUGAUGAUGAAGCACCCGUCGUGUAGCAGCAUCCUCACCAUCUCCUCAUCCUUCAUCUCGCGCACGUACUCCUCCUCCGCGUAAAACCUAGGACCUCCACGACCAAAUUUCAGUUUCGCUAUUCUUGUCGGGGAUUUGGAUUGUUUUUGUUUUUUUAGCAAAAUUUGGUCUAACGAGCAAAUCUACGGUUCUUGAGGAGGUACCAUGAGGUACCAAAAAUUUAGUGUAAAAUUUGGUACCUCAUUGUACCUCAUAGUACCUAAAUACUAAGAGGUACCAAAUUUACAAUAGAAAAAGUGGUACCUCAUUGUACCUCCUCAAGUACCGUAAAAUUACUCUCAAAUAAAUCUUGCUAAGUUCACAAAAUAAUUGAAAAUUUUAAAAAUUUUGGUCCAAAUAAUUUCGUUGGGGGGUUUGGGUGUUGGUAGGUUGGUAGGAGUGUAGACAUGAAGUUUUUAUCCAAAACAAGAAGGUAAUGCACGGGCAUGUAUCGCAGGGCCAUAUUUCAAACACUAUAAGGGUGGGAUAUAAGACAGAGAACAUUUUUGAAACAUAAACUGGAAAUAAAGCUCGCACAGAUGCGUUGACAUCUUAUUUGUUGUUCAAGGGAAAGAAUGGUAAAAUAAAUCAUACAUCACUAUAUACACGGUAAGGAAAUAAUGUAAAUUAUCUAACAAUAAAAAAAAGAAAUAUAUUGCCUAAAAUAGAUGGUAGAUUUUAAUAUACUACUAAAUAUGAUAAGAAUAAGAAUAUCUCUCAUAUUUAAAUAAAAAUCCCGUUGUCAUGGUCAUAUAUAAACUCCCCUAUUGUUAUUGUUUCAAAAGCUAUAUGCAUUUUUAAUAAAUGAAAUGACAUAUUCCACUUCUAUGUAUAAAUAGUCUAACCAUACCACUUCUAUCGGAUAAUACAAUAACACCAUUAAAAAUAGACAUGAAUAUCUCUCUAACGGAUGAAGCCGACUGUAACUACUAGAGCUUUCUUAUGUAAUGCCCUGAAACAUCGGACCUACAUCGACGUAGCCGUGCCCCCAAAGACCAGCCUAUAGCAUCAUUUUAACACUUAAUUCACUAUCGUCACACUCACAAAGGAUUCCAUUAGUUAGUAUUUCCCUUUAGAUACAUUGCCUACAGUAGCCUUUCACUGACACCACCUUAACUUAACCAUAUGUAUACCCUUGCAAUAUUUACGAUAGCAUAGUAAACACUACACCCUGCAUUGAAGGACAGAGAGGGACAGAAAGGAGGAGGUAAUGAAAAUAGUUAUAAUUUUUGCCCCUACUUAUUUGUGUGUAGUAUUAUUUUUAACAAAAUCGUAGUUUAAAAGGCUAUUGACAACACAUAAGUGCCGGACUGCUGACGUUGAUGAUUUUUCUUGAUUAGAACUAUUUCUUUGAUUUUACUAUUGAUAUUUUUUUUGAUUUAUCGUUUUUCUCCAUAGUAUAUGACAUAGGUAAUUAAGUUUUUUUUUCCGGAAAGUGAGAUGAUCGUACGAAGUACACAUACGUACGUUAUUCUUUUUCGGGAUGGAGAUUAGCAGCGUGGGAGUUUUGAUAUAUCUAAACUAACGGUUUAAAAUAACAGGUCCACCAAUUUAACUGAAAAUUGAAAGUUGGAUGUUUUUCUUUUUUCUCUGAUUUUUUAGGAUUUCUCUAAUUUAUUAGAGUGCCACGUGGCGACGUAGGAACGUUGUAGGAAGUUUAAUGGACUUUUAGUAUAUAAUAGAUAGAUUUUGAACCAUGUACAUUAUCACAGUCAAAAGCGGAUCCAGGAUAAGAUAUAUUAUAUGAAUUUAUUUUGGGACUAAGAGGGUACUGUAUAUAUAUGCCUGUGUCUUAACUCCGACGGGGAAAAAAAUAUAAGACUAGUUCAUACUCUUUCAACAAUUGAGCUGUAAAAUUAGUACCCCUACUGUUUUUACCUGACGAUUAAUUUGGAGAUCUCUAUACAGUUUCAACUGCACAUAUUGAUCAAUACGCUUUAGAAAUAUAUUUAAAAGUUUUUAAAAUUAUAGCUUCAUAAAAGUACUUGUCAUAAUGAAUUUAUUAACAUCAUUUUGCAUAAAGUCUUAAUUUUUAUACAUUAAUGAUUUAAAAUUUUGAUGUUUCACGCACAAGUUCUUGAACGCCGAAAACCCGUUUUUCAUUUUCUAGUUUGGUUACCACAAAUCAUGUGUGCAAUACCUAUACUAAUUCGGUACUCAAAAUGGGCAAAGCUAUUGAAAAGUAAGGAAUGGAUUCUAAUCCUGGGAUGUCCCCUUUGUUUCUUUUUCUUCCGAAACCUAUGUAAAUAGUUAUAAAAAAAUUAAUACAAAUUGAAUAGUGAUAUAUUGAACUCCACCAAAAAUUAAAUUUAAAUUUGAUCUGCACAUUAAGAAAAAAAAACAAACUCAACUAUGAAUAUAUAAUACCACUAUUAUUCAUAUGUUAAAUUUGUCUUUUUUAUAUCUCAAUUUGUGAGUUUGACUUUAGAUCUAAGAUUAUAUAUAAUGGCACAUAUAUGUUGUAUGAAUGUUAUAUAUUUUUUUCAGAAUUUUUCAUAGUUAUUUGAAGGGUUUUUAGAUAAAUGAGAGGACAUUCUCUCGAGGGUUUAAAACAGUAUAUAUCGCCUGAUAAAGAUAUGGUUGAUGGUUAGAAGGAUCAUAGUGUCACAAUUGGAUUAAUUAAUAUGCUGUUGAAAAUAGUACUAGUACACUUCAGGUUUUUUUCAUUGUCAUUAUAUAUUCAAUUUUAGUUGUCCUAAAUAUAGUUGUUCCUAAAUUCGAGAUUAAUAUAUAUGAAAUUGCAUAUAGGUUGGACUCGUGAAUUAGUUUUUUAAAAUAAUUAUGGAAUCGAAAAUAAGUUGUAACUGACGUCGACUUUCUAAUCUAAUCUGGUAUAAUUUGGAAAAGAACAGUACAUUGUGUAUGCGAUUGAAAUUUUAAUGUUUAUUCAAACUAGAGUAAUUAUCAUAAAACAUGAAAUUACAUAAACCGCUUAUGUUAUGGCUUGUGGCGUAUAACUACGGGUUUUAUGGUAUACAUGUUUUUGAAACCCUACCAUUAUUCAAAUCUCAUUUGCAUAUCUGAAAAAAAUAAUUUUCAAAAUAGUGAAGCUAGAAUUUAAACUACCAACCUUAAUUAAUAAAUCAACAAUUAUAAUUUUCAUAUACAGGCUAUGUUUUAAAAUUUUAAAUAAAUUUGUGCUCAACAUACAUAUGCAUGGUGUGGUUUUGUGAAAACUUUAGAACCAUUAUAAAUAGGGUUCACAUGUCAUUAAUCAUAAAGCUUUUUAUGCAACAUUCAUAGUAAAACGUGUGGUUUUCUGAAAUUUCACACUUGCCCGGGAGUAUAUUGCAUUUCUAUGUAAGCAAGGGAAAAAAAGUUUAGGCAACCAACAACAAUCUUCUGUUAUAUACUGAAAAGCCCACUAAUUAAACCUUUUACAAACGCUUCUAAACCAGCACGUGGCACUCGUACAAACGCUCCUAAACUGUCACAUGUCAUGUCUAUAAAUUAAGAGAAAUUUCAAAAAUUCUUAAAAUGGAAAAGUACCCAGCCGUUGAUAUUCACUUAAAUCCAUUAUUUUAACUAUUAAAUUAGAUAUCUCUACCGUUAUAAAAGUUGAAGAUGUUUUUGCCGGUAUUUUGGUACGUCAUCCGUGUUUGAGUCAGUUUUAAGUUCGUUCGCUUUUGGAAUACAUAUCAGUGUUUGAGUCGGAUUUUAAGUUCGUUUGUUUUUAAAAAUACGAAAAGAGUCGUAUAAGAAAUUUUGUAAAAAAAAAAACUUGCAUACUAACUUGAGAUAAAAAUCGGACUCCCACAGUGAAUUUCACCUUAGCUAACCGUAUAAUAAUAAUAAGAUUGAAAUAGCAUCCACCCGUUGCAACGCAUGGGCAUCUUUUAUAGUAUUAAAUAAAGUAAAUCCCUUCCUGCUAACACCCGUAAUUAGCAUGUAUGGUAGAUCACUCUCGAAGGAGUGGAGAGACGUGCUACGACGUACGUACUCCCACGGUCAUAUAAAAAAUCAACUUUUGGAAUGAAUUUGGACAAGUAUUUGUCAGGUUUAUCCCCAGAAGUUUUUUUUUUUUUUGUGAGGGGGAGGGGGGGGGGAUGAUGUAGGUACUUACCAACGAAUAUCGUCCACAAUCUCCUGGAGGCUGCUUUUGCAGCGUUGGAGGAUGCCUCCAUGCUUGUGGUCGUCAGGCUCGACGUCCCUGAGGAGCUCGUGGAGGUAGCGCUUCUUGAGCUUCUCGCCGCAGAGGCGGUUGCGAUCGCCGGCGCCGGCGUGACGACGAUGGUACGGGCCGACGGACACGAACUUGGGCGCGUACGCUUCCUCCUUGUUGAUGGCGCGCACCUGCUCCGGGACUCGCCACAGACGGUACUUCUUCGUCUUCCACCGGAACGACAGCGACGAUGGCGGGAGGUCGCCGCCAUCGUCGUUGUCGUCGUGGAUUAUGUUCACCCUCACCUCCGGCAGCUGCUGCUGCCCUGCCUCGUCCAGAAAAACCAUUUCUGUAGUAGUGUCAUCACCGUUUCCCAUAAUAUGUAUCUUAUUGUACGUACGCAGCAUGCUGCAUGCACUUAGUUAUCCAAUUCCAAGUAUAUAUAGGCACGUCGUCGAUCGAUCGUCCGACCGGAAUUUGAGAUGGCGUGUCGCCGGCGGCGAUCGAUCGGCGUGAUGGUGGUGCAUGCGACAAUGGCAUAAAAUAAAGGAAGAAGCCUCUUCUCUGGCCUAAUCGAUUCUUUUUGGUUGGCAAAUGGACGUAUCAAGCGAUCAGUGCAAGCUUUGAUGUUCUCAUGCAUGCAUGCUGAUCUGUAUGUAAGCUAGCCCCUUUAAUCUUCUUCUUUUUUUCCUCUUCACUAAUACAGUUAGCAUCUCAACCUUUUUUCCUCUUCACUAUAUAUAUAGCUAGCUAGAAUCGUCAAGCUUUUCCUUAUGUUGCUACCUGCUCAUGAAGUAAGCUCAGGUUCUUCUUCCUAUAUUAGUCUAUAUACAGAUAGUGCAUACGUACGUAAUAGAAAGAGCCCUGUAGAUGGAAAGGUUCUUUUUUUUUCAGUCGUAUGGACAUACGUCGUUUCAUGAUCAAUGCCGUCAAAAAAUUAUUUUUUAGAAAAAUAUACUAAAAUAGAUUAAUAUGUGAUAUUUUGCUAUAUAAAAGUGCAAGUAAAUAUUCGACUCAUACAACCAGAAACAAAGACAAUAACAAAUAUCAACCAUGAAUUAUACGCACACCUUUUUCAUGGUCAUAUAUAUUGGUUGUUUUUGGUUCACACACAUUUGUAAUUUCUAGUUGUGUAUAUUAAAUCUAAACUUGCAUGCAUGUUUGUGAAGUGAUAUAUCUCACAUAUUGAUAUAUUUUGUAAAAAAAAUAUUACUUUUUAUGACCUUUUUAGUUGACAUGCUUUAGUUGGCAUGCGCGCAUAAAAUAGUCUAUGUCCACUCAAAUGAUAAAAAGACUUUCAUAUGUACAUGGGAUUUUACAUGGAUGUUCAGCAAUUACUCAUUUCAUCUACUUCUGGAAAAGUCAUUUCAUCUUAAAGAAUGCCCUCUCUUUUUAUAUCCAUCCAAAUAAUUAUGAUUUAUUUAAGGGAACAUAUCAUAUGCACACAACAUUCCUAUGCAUAUACUCCGUGCAUAUCAACUAACAAAUGUCACAGAAAAUUCUAGAAAAAUUGGACACAUACUUCUAAUAGUAUUACAUCUACGUGUGAAAUCUUAUCUUCAAAUUCGUUAUAUUUUAACCGUAACAAAAAAGACAAAAUUUUGAUAGAUUUUUACCCUUAAAACUGUCAGAUUUUUCACUUUUUGGUUACAGCUAAAAUAUAAUGAAUUUGAAAAUGAGACUUUGCAUAUAUGUGUAAUACUAUUAGGAGUAAAUGUCCAAUUCUUUUAGAAUUUUUCGUGACAUUUGCUAGUUAGUGUGUGCGGAGUGUGCACGGAAAGCUUGUGUGUAAGAUAUGUUCCUUAUUUUGAAGAGAUAUAUCACUCCACGAACAUUGAUAACAUGUGUUUGUAAGUUUUAAGCUAUGUAGAGGUAGCAUAUCAAAUAUUUAAUAGAGUUAUAUACAUUGAGGAAAGGUCCUGAUCUUUCGAUAGGUAUGAAUAACUCUCGAUUUGGUGGAAACUUGAUACACAUGAUUCGGUUUCCGAUCAACACGAUCUAAACCCUGCAAUUGUAGCAUCACGGCUUCUCUGGUUAUCAACCAUACGCUGCUAUGGUUGAUCUCACCGAGAAGGCUAAUCUCUGCAUACGAAUCGAAGAAUACAAGAAAGAACAGUAUAGAUUGCAACUCAAGGUGUUGUCGUUUCGUGUUCAACAGAAAUUAAUUCACCCUUUAAUUGGUUGAAGCAACAAAAAUUAAUCUUGGUUGCCUGUGCGCACACAGGGCAUUCUAUGGUGCACAUUUACUUUUUGUCCAAAUAAACAAAGCGACGAUUUGUGAUAUGGUGAUUCUUUUGAGAAAACAUAAAAAAUUCUAGAUGAUAAUCAAACUGGGAUGGAGGGAGUAGUACUUUACCGUACGCAGCAUCGGCCGCUGAAUUGAAUGCAAAAGAAGAUAUAUUGUCAUCAAGGAAUAUAUGCCAGAAAAAAACUUUGAGCUUUAUGCCAAUUGAGGGAGAGCUAUAAUUUUUUAUAUCUUAUUGCUGCACGCUCAAUAUAUUCUUUCUACUUUUCAAGUGAAAAAGUAGUCAUAAAAGGUGGUGUGAAUCUCUUUUUUUCGAUAAAGCUAACGCCCACUAAAUACAUAAAGCUUAACAUGCAAGUAUAGUAUUUAUUAGCACUUUAAAACCUACAUACAAGCAUGUCAUAUCAACCCAUUAAGCAUACAAAACUUAACAUGUAAGCAUAUAGUAAUUAUAUAUACAAUUUAUUUCAUGCACAAGCUAAAUCAUCAUUCUCAAAAGCACGAAUUACCCUCCCCCGAAUUAUCGCGGUCGACCGAAUUACCCCUCUAAACCCGAAAACCAAACAUCGUUCACCCUGAACUUGUAAUAUCGGACAAAUUACCCCUCUUACCUAAAUUUAGAGCGGUUUUGUCCUACGUGGCGUACAUGUGGCGGUCUAGUCAACAUUUUAUUUAUAAAAAAAAUAUGGAACACACCUGUCAUACUCCUCUCUCACUCUUCCUCUCUCUUUCUCGCCGGUCGACGGCGGCGAGCGACGCCGAGCGGCGGCGGCCGUGGCCACUACAAGGAGCCGCCCCUCGGCGCGCGGACGGAUGGAGGCUGGUGCAGGCGGCGGCGCGGGACACGAAGACGGAGGCGGAGGUGGCGGCGGCGGAGGAAGAAGACGUGCUAGCAGAGCAGUGCAGACGAGCAGCAAUGCGCAUACUCCUGCCCAUUGCCAGGAAAGAAGACGACGACGGCGUGUGUAGGCGAGCUAGCUAGCUAGCACGUCUUCUUCCUCCGCCACGGCCCAACGAGGCAGCCGGCAAAGCUAGGCAGGCGUACGAACUCGUGGCCAGGAAAGCUGCCGGCGUCGCGCCGUGCAGGGGCCAGCCUGCCGUCCAUCAUCAAUGCCUAUGUCAGGGUCUCGGGCCGGCUGCACAUGGGCCGCUAGGCAACCCGUCGCCAAGAAGAAACAGAACAGAACUGGCAAUCGGCGGCUUCGGCCACGGCGGCGGCGGCGACUAGGUUUGGGCAAGAACCUUGUCGAUCUCUCUCCCUUACUUCUCCUUCUUCCUACCAGCCACUACACUCUUCUUGUCUCCCUCUAUAGAACCUUCUAGAAGCUUGUAAUACUCAGCUACUUCGCUCAAUUCCACCUCAAAUUGGUUUAGAUACUGUUGCUUGCUAUUUGCUUGGUGCAUCGGGUUGCUAACAGCCUAAAGGGAUCCUAUGUCUCGACGCAAGCAGCUAGCAGCACAGUGCAGCUCUGCUCUGCUGCUCUGAGAGAUUCGGUCGUCUGCACUGCCGCGUCUUACUUACACGGGGCACCUCUUCAACGACGACGACGACGCCGCCGCCGUGGCACCGGCCACCGCCGAGACGACGCCGCUUUGGACGCUAGCCCGCUCCCACUCCCACAGCCCUGCCCCGGCGGCGCCGAGCCGGCAUCACGGUCGCAUCACCGACCGCGAACAAUGGUGACGACGACUACUCGGCGGCGGCGUGCAGCAGCAGGUGGACAGGAAGGCUGCCUCCGUGUCACCCGCGGCCGCCGCCGCUCCGUGUCACCCGCCGCCGCCGACCAGUGAGAGAAGAAGAGUGAGACAGAGUGAGAGAGAGGAAGAGUAUGACAUGUGGGUCUCAUAUUUUUUUAUAAAUAGAAUGCUAACUGGACUACCACGCGUAUGUCACGUAGAUUAAAAUCACCGCGGAUUGGGUCGAGGGAGAUAAUUCGUUCGGUUUGCAUAGUUGGGUGUGAAGAAUGUCUGGUUUUGCGAUUCAGAGGGGUAAUUCGUACGUUUUCCUUUUCAUAAUAUUUCAAUCCAAAUUGUUUUAUUAUUUCUCCAUUAUCUAACAUAUAUCUCGCAGCAAAGCGCGGGGCAUCAUCUAGUAUAUUUAUAUGGGUGUGUAGCCCAAAUUUAGUACCCUAUUCAUUAGUAAUACAUGAAACUCUAAUCAGUGUCUGUUUUCUUAAUUUAACAAUAUAAUUAAUUCUGUUAUACCCUAACUUCAAAAAGUUGUAAAGAAGUAGUACUUGCAAAAUUGUAAAAUAUCUCAUGAAUGUAAACUGUCGCCGCGCGGUUUUCAAUUUGGAAAAAAACAGGUUUCCUUUAGUUUGCAGUGUUUAUACUUUUGCGCAAAUCAGCGGCCGCUUUAAUACCACUCAAAGAACUUGACCUUUAAAUCAGCGGCCGCUUUGUUCCACUUGCAAGUGGGACAAUGGUAGCCGUAAAUUGAUCGUACGUGCGGCUGAAUUUUUUUCUGCCGACGCCAUCAGAUGCGCUGAAUUUUGAUCAUCGCCAGAAAAUUAAGAGAGAAAAGAUCGAGUUAGCUAGCGUGGAAUAUCGCCAAGGAAUAUAUGCACGCUUGCGCUUUAAUUACUUGAAUGCAUAUUGUGCCACACGACAACUAAUUUUCUGUCCAGACGUACUGCUUUUGGAGAGAAAUUUCAUCAAAAAGCAUAUGCCGAUCAUGUUGGACUUUUUGCUUUGUUUAAUUUCGUCGAUCCCUUCCUUCACUCGAUCAAGCUUCCACCGUAAAGGUUUCACGCGUACGUCGUGUGUUGGCCGACGUGCUGGCCGUGGCUGGCAUGUAUGUCUUGAUAGAUGCGUUUUUGUGCAUCGACCUAGCAAACAGCAGCUAUAUAUAUAUAUAUAGAGAGAGGAGGGUCUUGCAAUAUCAAUCCAUCAUCACAACUCAUCAAACUCAGAUCGAUUGUCAUUGAGAGCGAGCAACUAGCGCUAGCUACUACUCGAAGGCAAAAUGGUAAGUAAAUCUCGUAUACAUAUAUGAAGUAAUUAGUUAUUUGGCAAUUAGAUGUUGCUGUAACCCAUUUCCAUUAUCUAAAAAAAAAAGAUGUUGCUAGCUAGUGCAUAUAUAUUCAUUUAUAUGCAUGAUCGAUACUGCUGGCCGGGGCCGCCGGAUACAUCUGAAUUAUUAGACGUAGAGGCCGGAUUAAUUAUGUCAUCUUAAAGAGAAACUAAUUUAAUGGUUAUGAUGUAUAUAUAUGCAGGACGUGAUGGAGAAGUCUCGGCGAGCUCACUUCUUGUUCGACGACGACGACCAAACGCCGCCGAAGCAGAACGGCCCCCAGAACGACGACCAGCACAACAACGACGACGGCAGCGGCUGCCUCUGCGUGUCGUGCUACGGCGGCGUCGCAAAACCAAAGGCGCCCAAGUCGUCGUCGCCGGCGAAGGACGUCGUCGCCGGCGGCCGUCCUGCUGCAGGCUCCAACUGUACCUGAUCUUACUCUAACCAUAUAUAGCUUGCUAGCGAUCGAGCUCGAUCUCAUCUCGCACCUAGCUUGAUCAUGUCGAGCAACCAUGU
Molecule: long non-coding RNA, 14472 nt
Filed under: Oryza sativa (Asian cultivated rice)
Lineage: Eukaryota; Viridiplantae; Streptophyta; Magnoliopsida; Poales; Poaceae
Description: long non-coding RNA (OSAT_LNC000910)
Source: RNAcentral